UUUUGAAGACGUUCCUUGAGGGGAUUUGAAAAAAGAAUGCAAAUCACUCUGAAUGGGAGGACUUAUAAUCCAUGACUCUGAGAUGGAUGGUCUCUCUUCUACGGAACAUAAACAUUGUGAUCUGGUGGCCACCUUAAUAACCAUGAGGACUGCUCACCUAAGGACAAAGCCAAAAGAAUCCUUCCUAUCUGAUGAUGCUGUUCCUGUUUAACCUGAGGAGUCCUCAAUGAUCUCACAUGGAAUGGUUUUACAAGG
Molecule: long non-coding RNA, 255 nt
Organism: Herpailurus yagouaroundi (jaguarundi)
Lineage: Eukaryota; Metazoa; Chordata; Mammalia; Carnivora; Felidae
Exons: 3
Source: RefSeq, a predicted model, not a curated record